RNAcentral lists this ribosomal RNA (492 nucleotides) under uncultured bacterium. RNAcentral's name for it is "partial 16S ribosomal RNA". It matches the Rfam family "Bacterial small subunit ribosomal RNA", at positions 29 to 507 of the family's 1533-position model. The record is from RNAcentral.
AGUGAACGCUGGCGGUAGGCCUAACACAUGCAAGUCGAACGGCAGCACAGUAAGAGCUUGCUCUUACGGGUGGCGAGUGGCGGACGGGUGAGGAAUACAUCGGAAUCUACUUUUUCGUGGGGGAUAACGUAGGGAAACUUACGCUAAUACCGCAUACGACCUACGGGUGAAAGCAGGGGAUCUUCGGACCUUGCGCGAUUGAAUGAGCCGAUGUCGGAUUAGCUAGUUGGCGGGGUAAAGGCCCACCAAGGCGACGAUCCGUAGCUGGUCUGAGAGGAUGAUCAGCCACACUGGAACUGAGACACGGUCCAGACUCCUACGGGAGGCAGCAGUGGGGAAUAUUGGACAAUGGGGGCAAGCCUGAUCCAGCCAUACCGCGUGGGUGAAGAAGGCCUUCGGGUUGUAAAGCCCUUUUGUUGGGAAAGAAAAGCAGCAGGUUAAUACCCCGCUGUUCUGAGGGUACCCAAAGAAUAAGCACCGGCUAACUUCGUG